Molecule: long non-coding RNA, 1447 nt
Filed under: Ficedula albicollis (Collared flycatcher)
Lineage: Eukaryota; Metazoa; Chordata; Aves; Passeriformes; Muscicapidae
Description: lncRNA (ENSFALG00000025852.1)
Source: RNAcentral
GGGGGGGGGGGGGGGGGGGGGGGGGGGGGGGGGGGGGGGGGGGGGGGGGGGGGGGGGGGGGGGCCCGUCCCGGUCCCGUCCCCUCACCCCGUCCCGGUGCCUCCCGGUACCUCCCGGCUCCCCGGUGCGUGCCCCGUGCCUCGUCCCGCUGCUCACCCUCUCUUUAAAAAGAAAGAGAGAAAGAAGAAAGAGAAUAAUUUGGCUUUGUGUUGUUCUAGCUUUAGGAAUCUCUUUAAUAAAUCUGUCAGGACUUUUUUUUUAACAGAUAUCAACUAAAAGCACGAGAAACUGUAAGUAGUGUGCAGCAGUUUUGUCAGGAUCUUUACGAUCUCAGUGCUUGCUGGGUGACUAUUUUUGCAAAUGAGAUUAAACUUCUCAAUUAAACCUCUGUGCCCUGUGGCAAAAAAUACCACGGCAUUAAAAUUCAAUGGAACUGGCAAGGUGCUGCUCUGCUUUUCACCUGUGCUGUGUGCAGACCAUGGGAGAAGGGGAAUGCCGAUGGAGAAUCUGUUCCUCUGGGGAGCAAACAGAGUCACUGCCCCUGCAGAAAGAGAAGUCCGCCUGCAGGGCUGUUCUGGGCUCUGCACAAGUGGGACGCUGUGAUUAUAUUUGUCUCUGUGCUGGCCGUAGAGCCAGGCCCUGCUGCUGAUCCUUUGUUUGCAUUGCUCAUGACAAAAAUGAGCAGAUGUUCAGGGGGAAAUGGAGUUAGAUGGAAAAGGUGAUGGGUUUUAUGUUUCAGGAAAAAUCGCCUGAGACUUUCCCAGAUAAUGCAGAAUGCGACAAAUGUUUGUCCUCCUGAACAGGGUGAGAUGGAGCAGCCACUUCCAGGUGCAGGAGUCCCUCCCCUUCCCUCAGGAGCACCUGCAGCAGAGCAGGACACGGGCACAAAGCCAGGUAUCCCCCAGAGCCUUUGCAACGUCUCUCAGGCUCUGGUUCUCUCCCUCCCUGGCCACUCUUAAUCCAACCAGAGGCACAAUGCUAUGGACUCUAAUCCUGUUGCUUUAUCUUUUUCAUUUUUUUGUGGUGGGGUGGGCUCCAGGGAGAAAAGGACAACCGGGUUCUCACCAUGCAGGGCCGACCUCUGAGCCCCCCAGUGAUCAUGGCAACCAAAGACGGGAAAAGGCGGCUGAGGAACGUGAGAGAAGAAAAACCAAGGGGAAAAAAGCAGAAGAAACAGAACUGGUCAUCUUGGAUCCAGAACAUCCUCUGAUGACCAGAUUCCAGGCUGCCCUGAAGAAUUACCUCACCAAGCAGAUAGAGCAAGUGAACCUAGACCUCCACGAGCUGGUACACAGCCCCUCCCUUGCCCUCCCCGCCGCCCCUCCCGUCCCAGCCGGCGGGACACAGCUCCUUCCCUCCUGUGCGUGCAGAGGGGGGGGGGGGGGGGGGGGGGGGGGGGGGGGGGGGGGGGGGGGGGGGGGGGGGGGGGGGGGGGGGGGGGGGGGGG